RNAcentral lists this ribosomal RNA (379 nucleotides) under uncultured bacterium. RNAcentral describes it as "bacterial SSU rRNA". It matches the Rfam family "Bacterial small subunit ribosomal RNA", at positions 521 to 896 of the family's 1533-position model. The record is from RNAcentral.
UAAGACGAACCGUGCGAACGUUAUUCGGAAUCAUUGGGCUUAAAGAGCACGUAGGCGGCGGCGUAAGUGGGGGGUGAAAGGCUAUCGGCUCAACCGUGGCAUUGCCUUCCAAACUGCGUCGCUCGAGGAAGGUAGGGGCAGGUGGAACUUCCAGUGGAGCGGUGAAAUGUGUUGAGAUUGGAAGGAACGCCAGUGGCGAAAGCGACCUGCUGGAUCUUUGCUGACGCUGAGGUGCGAAAGCUAGGGGAGCAAACGGGAUUAGAUACCCCGGUAGUCCUAGCCGUAAACGAUGGGUACUGGGUAGGAAGCGGUCCGAUGCCGCCUCCUGCCGAAGCGAAAGUGUUUAGUACCCCGCCUGGGGAGUAUGGCCGCAAGGCUG